Juglans microcarpa x Juglans regia is the source of this 2631-nucleotide RNA transcript. It is a transcript of the gene named probable methyltransferase PMT3, with no coding region annotated. The record is from RefSeq and is a predicted model, not a curated record. Lineage: Eukaryota; Viridiplantae; Streptophyta; Magnoliopsida; Fagales; Juglandaceae. The transcript has 9 exons.
UGACAACUAGCUAGCUCAGAAUUACAAGUGUUCGUUGACAACUAGGCGUUAAUGGAUAUUUAACGACAUUUGACGUACUGUGAAACGAGCAUACACACUCACGAACAGUCCCACGAUACAAACAAAGGCAAAACUCUGAGAUCUGAUCUCUCCCCCUGGCCCCCACUUUGUUUCCUGUUAUAGAAGUGGAGUAAGCACAAGGAGCUUCUAUUGACCCAGAUCUCCGCUUAGGAUUUCAGGGGCUCUUUCACGUACCACAAUCAGACCCACUUCGUCAUUCGGUUCAAACCCAGUCUAUUGAUCAAUCUCUAUGAUUCUUGACUGCUAAGUCUUCAGGGAUCUCAUUUGUGUGUUUGACACAAGAUAUCUUCAUGAAAUGAGAUCUGUAUAGUGAUCUAUUAAUACAUAAGUGGAAGUGAAAAGUUGUGAUUGAAGAGCUUGAAAACUAAAUAAAUGAUGAGGGGAAGAUCUGAUGGAACACAAAAGAAGCGUUUAAUCACUUCUUUGUGUGUUGUGGCAAUCUUUCUUGGUUUUCUGUAUGUAUACUAUGGAUCCAUUUUUGGCUCUACAAACCAUGGUACAUCUGCCCUAGAAUAUGGGAGCAGAUCUUUGAGAAGACUUGGUUCAUCGUAUUUGGGUGGGGAUGAAGAUGCUGAUAGCAAGCAAGAUGAAUCUUCAACAAGAUUUGGCCUAGAAAAUGGAGAGGAUGUUAUCACACCAAAGAGUCUCCCAGUUUGUGAUGAUCGACAUUCAGAACUAAUUCCCUGCCUAGACAGACACCUCAUAUACCAAAUGAGGUUGAAGCUGGACUUAUCUUUAAUGGAGCACUAUGAGAGACAUUGCCCUCUUCCAGAAAGGCGGUACAACUGCUUGAUUCCUCCUCCACGAGGAUACAAGGUCCCAAUCAAGUGGCCGGAAAGCAGAGAUCAAGUAUGGAAAGCAAACAUACCUCAUACUCACCUUGCACACGAGAAGUCUGACCAGAACUGGAUGGUUGUGAAAGGUGAAAAGAUUGUAUUUCCGGGUGGAGGUACUCAUUUUCACUAUGGAGCAGAUAAGUAUAUUGCUUCAAUUGCAAAUAUGCUAAACUUUUCACACAAUAAUAUAAACAAUGAAGGAAGAUUAAGAACAGUUCUUGAUGUUGGCUGUGGUGUUGCGAGUUUUGGAGCUUAUCUCCUCUCAUCUGAUGUUAUAACGAUGUCCUUAGCACCGAAUGAUGUGCAUCAAAACCAAAUUCAGUUCGCCCUAGAAAGAGGAAUUCCUGCAUAUCUUGGUGUUCUAGGAACCAAGAGGCUCCCUUACCCUAGCAGAUCUUUUGAACUUGCUCACUGUUCUCGUUGUAGGAUUGAUUGGCUUCAAAGAGAUGGAAUUCUUCUUCUUGAGCUAGAUAGAUUACUCAGACCAGGCGGCUAUUUUGCCUACUCAUCUCCCGAGGCAUAUGCUCAGGAUGAAGAGGAUCUCAGAAUAUGGAGAGAGAUGAGUGCCCUUGUGGGACGUAUGUGUUGGACAAUAGCUUCAAAGAGGAACCAAACUGUUAUUUGGCAAAAGCCUCUGACAAAUGACUGUUAUAUGGAAAGAAAACCUGGUACCCUCCCUCCUCUCUGCCAGUCUGGUGAUAAUCCAGAUAAAGUUUGGGGUGUGUCAAUGGAAGCAUGCAUCACACCAUACUCUGAUCAUGAUCAUAUGGUUAAGGGCAGUGGAUUGGCUCCUUGGCCAUCUAGGCUGACUGCUCCUCCUCCUCGACUUGCUGAUUUUGGCUAUUCAACUGACAUGUUUGAAAAGGACACGGAAGUUUGGAAAGAGAGGGUUGUGAGCUAUUGGAAUCUCUUGAGCCCAAAGAUUUCAUCAAACACACUGAGGAAUGUGAUGGACAUGAAGACAAACAUGGGUUCGUUUGCAGCUGCUCUGAAGGACAAGGAUGUUUGGGUCAUGAAUGUUGUCCCUGAAGAUGGACCAAACACGCUUAAGCUGAUAUACGACAGAGGCCUCAUAGGCACUGUUCAUGACUGGUGCCAAGCAUUUUCAACAUACCCUCGAACAUAUGAUCUACUCCAUGCUUGGACUGUCUUUUCUGACAUUGAGAAGAAAGAUUGCAGUCCUGAAGAUUUGCUGAUUGAGAUGGAUCGGAUACUUCGACCUACUGGUUUCAUAAUCAUCCGUGACAAGCUAGCAGUGAUAAAUUUCAUAAAGAAGUACUUAGUGCCGUUGCACUGGGAAGCAGUGGCGACAUCUGAUUCCAGUUCAGAUUCAGACCAGGAUGGAGACGACAUUGUGUUUGUUAUUCAGAAGAAAAUGUGGCUGACAAGUGAAAGCCUGAGGGAUUCGGAAUAGGACCGAUGGUUGCUUCUUUGUUCCCUGUUUCUCAUCUAAGUCUCUGCUCCCCCCCACAAGGGAUUACAACAUGUCCCAAGUAUUUAUUCAGAAAACAAUUAUAUUUUGUAGCAUUGAAUGAUUUUUACUAUAUUAUUUUUUAUUUCCUUUUUCUACAAUGAGUUUAGUCGAUAAGCCAUAGACUACAAGCAUCUAUAGACUAUUUCUUCAUCUUUUUCUUUUCUUUUUGAAAUAUGGGCAAUUGUGUAAACUGUUUCAGCAAUUGAUCAAUAACUAAAACAAAUAUUUGCUUCUGAAGUA